UCCUUGGUGAGCUCCUGGAUAUGGCUGUUUGAAGAAGGUCACACCAUCCAUAAUUAUACCUGUGAAACCAAGCAAGUCAUUGGAGGGACCAUAUGGAAUAGAAAAUUCCUCACAUCUUCGCAUCAAGAACAGCGAUGCCAAAGUGGUCCAUCUGGUGUGUAAAGCUGCAGGGUGGUACCCAGAGCCUGAGGCAAGCUGGAAAGCUCUAAGAAAAUAAUUUAAAGCCACACUCUAAAGGUGACAGCACAAAUGGAAAAAGUUUAUUCUCCAAUGAAUCUUUAAUCCUGGUAACUGAACUCAAAAAGACUGUGCUCUCUGUUCCAUCCUCAUCUCCAGGCUCAACCAGAAAAAGGGGACAACUAUUCCUGUUUCAGAAAAUAAAAAGUGGAGUUCAACAAGCCAAAAGUACAAUACAAGCAUACCUCUGAGAUAUUGCAGGUUCAGUUCCAGACCACGGCAAUAAGGCAAAUAUUGCAAUAAAGCACG
This is a long non-coding RNA of Zalophus californianus (California sea lion), 486 nucleotides long. RefSeq lists it as uncharacterized. The transcript has 3 exons. The record is from RefSeq and is a predicted model, not a curated record. Lineage: Eukaryota; Metazoa; Chordata; Mammalia; Carnivora; Otariidae.